RNAcentral lists this ribosomal RNA (484 nucleotides) under uncultured bacterium. Its description in RNAcentral is "partial 16S ribosomal RNA". It matches the Rfam family "Bacterial small subunit ribosomal RNA", at positions 30 to 507 of the family's 1533-position model. The record is from RNAcentral.
AUUGAACGCUAGCGGGAUGCUUUACACAUGCGAGUCGAACGGCAGCGCGGACUUCGGUCUGGCGGCGAGUGGCGAACGGGUGAGUAAUGUAUCGGAACGUGCCCAGUAGCGGGGGAUAACUACGCGAAAGCGUAGCUAAUACCGCAUACGCCCUACGGGGGAAAGCAGGGGAUCGUAAGACCUUGCACUAUUGGAGCGGCCGAUAUCGGACUAGCUAGUUGGUGAGGUAACGGCUCACCAAGGCGACGAUCCGUAGCUGGUUUGAGAGGACGACCAGCCACACUGGGACUGAGACACGGCCCAGACUCCUACGGGAGGCAGCAGUGGGGAAUUUUGGACAAUGGGGGCAACCCUGAUCCAGCCAUCCCGCGUGUGCGAUGAAGGCCUUCGGGUUGUAAAGCACUUUUGGCAGGAAAGAAACGUCGCGGGCUAAUACCCCGUGGAACUGACGGUACCUGCAGAAUAAGCACCGGCUAACUACGUG